ACCCGAUUAGUUCAGUUGAUUAGAGCAUGGUGCUAAUAACACCAAGGUUGUGGGUUUGAUCCCCGUACCGGCCA
RNAcentral lists this transfer RNA (74 nucleotides) under Manacus vitellinus (golden-collared manakin). It matches the Rfam family "tRNA". From Rfam's summary of the family: Transfer RNA (tRNA) molecules are approximately 80 nucleotides in length. Their secondary structure includes four short double-helical elements and three loops (D, anti-codon, and T loops). The record is from Rfam by way of RNAcentral. Lineage: Eukaryota; Metazoa; Chordata; Aves; Passeriformes; Pipridae.